CCUACGGGUGGCAGCAGUGGGGAAUAUUGCGCAAUGGGCGAAAGCCUGACGCAGCGACGCCGCGUGAGGGAUGAAGGUCUUCGGAUCGUAAACCUCUGUCAGCAGGGAAGAACGGUCACUGUGCUAAUCAGCAGUGAAUUGACGGUACCUGCAAAGGAAGCACCGGCUAACUCCGUGCCAGCAGCCGCGGUAAUCCGGAGGGUGCGAGCGUUAAUCGGAAUUACUGGGCGUAAAGCGCACGUAGGCGGUAUGUUAAGUCAGCGGUCAAAUGUCGGGGCUCAACCCCGGACUGCCGUGGAAACUGGCGGCCUGGAGUGGGCGAGAGGUAUGCGGAAUGCGUGGUGUAGCGGUGAAAUGCAUAGAUAUCACGCGGAACUCCGAUUGCGAAGGCAGCAUACCGGCGCCCUACUGACGCUGAGGCACGAAAGCGUGGGUAUCGAACAGGAUUAGAUACCCUAGUAGUC
This 464-nucleotide ribosomal RNA is filed under the name uncultured bacterium. RNAcentral describes it as "partial 16S ribosomal RNA". It matches the Rfam family "Bacterial small subunit ribosomal RNA", at positions 338 to 795 of the family's 1533-position model. The record is from RNAcentral.